GACGAACGCUGGCGGCGUGCCUAAUACAUGCAAGUCGAGCGGACGAAUCGAAAGCUUGCUUUUGAUUCGUUAGCGGCGGACGGGUGAGUAACACGUGGGCAACCUGCCCUGUAGACGGGGAUAACACCGAGAAAUCGGUGCUAAUACCGGAUAACACGAAAUGUCGCAUGACGUUUCGUUGAAAGACGGCGCAAGCUGUCGCUACAGGAUGGGCCCGCGGCGCAUUAGCUAGUUGGUGAGGUAACGGCUCACCAAGGCGACGAUGCGUAGCCGACCUGAGAGGGUGAUCGGCCACACUGGGACUGAGACACGGCCCAGACUCCUACGGGAGGCAGCAGUAGGGAAUCUUCCGCAAUGGACGAAAGUCUGACGGAGCAACGCCGCGUGAGCGAAGAAGGCCUUCGGGUCGUAAAGCUCUGUCGUUAGGGAAGAACAAGUAACGCAGUAACUGGCGUUACCGUGACGGUACCUAACGAGAAAGCCACGGCUAACUACGUG
RNAcentral lists this ribosomal RNA (498 nucleotides) under uncultured bacterium. RNAcentral describes it as "partial 16S ribosomal RNA". It matches the Rfam family "Bacterial small subunit ribosomal RNA", at positions 28 to 507 of the family's 1533-position model. The record is from RNAcentral.